UGGAGCCUCACAAAUGGCAUCAGUGCCCUUGUAAAAGAAGCCCCAGACCUCCCUCACCCGUCCCAUCACCUGAGGACACAGCGAGAAGCCAGCCUUCUGCAACUGGAAGGGGGCCCUCGCCAGAACCCACCAUGCUGGCACCUUGAUCUUGGACUUCCAGCCUCCAGAAUGCAUGGAACAUGGCGUGAUGGCUCGAACUCCAGCAGCCAUCUAGAAACCACGAGGCUAAGUCAGCGCUGGGGGUGCUGAGCAGAAAGAGAAGGAGCCUGAGACGCCCAGGGCACUUGGAGCUGCUGU
RNAcentral lists this long non-coding RNA (297 nucleotides) under Equus caballus (horse). RNAcentral describes it as "lncRNA (ENSECAG00000046961.1)". Lineage: Eukaryota; Metazoa; Chordata; Mammalia; Perissodactyla; Equidae. The record is from RNAcentral.